GCAGAAAGUGAUGAAUCAGAGGCUGAAGUGAAGUUACAAAGUUAUACUCCUAUGCAAAGGAAGACUUGGCCUGUGACCAGCCUGAUUGACUGCAGGAGGGGACCAGUCAGAGGUACUUACAAUUUUUUAUCUGACACUCAGAAAAGAUGGGGGUUGCAAAGGGAGUAGCCUUGAGUCCAUUUGUUACUUAGGCAUGGGAAGUUGGGGUUUUCCUUUUGAUUUAGUUUUAGGAAGUCAGUGUGAAUCAGCCUUAGAUGAUUAAAAAAGAUUUAAUUAAUCUCCGUGCCUCCAGACCCUAUUCUCCUGUCUCAAUACUACAGGAAAUGAUGAGUUUAGAAAAUAAUUGUCCAGCUUGCAGUUAGGAAAGAAAGUGAUUAUAGGAAGCUAUAAACUUGGAGACAUGCACGUUUAGAAGAUGCAAGUGAUUCUCAUUAUUAUUCAUUAAAAACAAAACUGAGAUGAGCAACAAAGGUUGAUUAGAACUCAACCUCUUGGCAAGGAUCAAAUUACGGGUGUGAUAGUCACACCCAUGACUAAAACCUCCGAAUAGAUUAAAGUGGUACCCCAUGAAUCUUUUCAGUUGAACAACAUGGCACAGGUCUUCCCAUGACAGAGCUGGAUAGAUUCAAGGUACCUACAAGAAAGAAUUAAAAGAGAAAGUUGUGACUUAGUGCAGUGGAGACACACACAAUCAUGGUAUGUGGAGCUAGCUUGAAUCAAAUAUGGAAGAAGCUGGCUAAAUUUUUGAGAGACAUGCCAAAAUAGCUAUCAGUCAAGACUAAAGGAAACUGUAAAUAGACUCCAAGUGGGAGUGGGGCUUCAACCUUCUGUGGACAGAGUUGUCUGAGAACGCUGCUCAGACUUUAAGGAGAUCACAUUUUCCAGUGCUCACUUAAGGACAAGGAGGCCGGGUAUAGUGGCUCAUGCCUGUAAUCCCAGCACUUUGGGAGGUCGAGGCGGGUGAAUCACGAGGUCAGGAGUUUGAGACCAGCCUGGCCAACAUAGUGAAACCCCAUCUCUAC
RNAcentral lists this long non-coding RNA (1022 nucleotides) under Homo sapiens (human). RNAcentral describes it as "HSALNT0343655". The record is from RNAcentral. Lineage: Eukaryota; Metazoa; Chordata; Mammalia; Primates; Hominidae.